Small nuclear RNA from Trichechus manatus latirostris (Florida manatee), 105 nucleotides. The record is from RefSeq and is a predicted model, not a curated record. Lineage: Eukaryota; Metazoa; Chordata; Mammalia; Sirenia; Trichechidae.
GUGCUCGCUUCAGCAGCACAUAUGGUAAAACUGGAACGAUACAGAGAAGAUGAGCAUGGCCCCUGUGCAAGGAUGAUGCAAAUUUGUGAAGCUUUCCAUAUUUUU